This 423-nucleotide ribosomal RNA is filed under the name uncultured eukaryote. Its description in RNAcentral is "bacterial SSU rRNA". It matches the Rfam family "Eukaryotic small subunit ribosomal RNA", at positions 592 to 1018 of the family's 1831-position model. The record is from RNAcentral.
CAAUAGCGUAUAUUAAAGUUGUUGCGGUUAAAAGCUCGUAGUUGGAUUUCUGCCGAGGACGACCGGUCCGCCCUGUGGGUGAGCAUCUGGAUCGGCCUGGGCAUCUUCUUGGGGAACGUAGCUGCACUUGACUGUGUGGUGCGGUAUCCAGGACUUUUACCUUGAGGAAAUUAGAGUGUUUAAAGCAGGCAUUUGCUAUGAAUACAUUAGCAUGGAAUAAUAAUCUAGGACUUCGGUUCUAUUUUGUUGGUUUCUAGAUCUGAAGUAAUGAUUGAUAGGGAUAGUUGGGGGUGGCUAGUAUUAAGGGGCCGAGAGGUGAAAUUCUUGGAUUCUCUUAAGACUAACUUAUGCGAAAGCAUUCACCAAGGAUGUCUUCUUUAAUCAAGAACGAAAGUUGGGGGAUCGAAGACGAUCAGAUACCGU